AUGUUUAUCUUAUUAUCUCUAUCUGAUCUCACUUUUGCAAGUGACUAUGAAGGGAUUGACAACCCCUUUAUCGCGUUGGUUGCAAGGUUCUUAUUUGUUUGUGUAGGUGCGAGGUGA
This 117-nucleotide ribosomal RNA is filed under the name Triticum aestivum (bread wheat). RNAcentral describes it as "partial small subunit ribosomal RNA". The record is from RNAcentral. Lineage: Eukaryota; Viridiplantae; Streptophyta; Magnoliopsida; Poales; Poaceae.